This 661-nucleotide ribosomal RNA is filed under the name uncultured archaeon. RNAcentral describes it as "bacterial SSU rRNA". It matches the Rfam family "Archaeal small subunit ribosomal RNA", at positions 82 to 725 of the family's 1478-position model. The record is from RNAcentral.
CGUACGGCUCCUUAACACGUAGUCAACCUGCCCUGGAGACGCGGACAAGCCCGGGAAACUGGGAGUAAUCCGCGAUAGAUGACCUCAUCUGGAAGGAGAAGUCGUCGAAAAGGCCGCACGGGUAUGCUCUGUGCGAUCCGCUCUAGGAUGGGACUGCGGCCGAUCAGGCUGUUGGCGGGGUAAUGGCCCACCAAACCUGUAACCGGUACGGGCUUUGAGAGAAGGAGCCCGGAGAUGGACACUGAGACAAGGGUCCAGGCCCUACGGGGCGCAUCAGGCGCGAAAACUUCGCAAUGCGCGAAAGCGUGACGAGGCUAGUCCGAGUGCUCCCUGCUAAAGGGGGCUUUUCUCGGCUGUAAAUAGGCCGGGGAAUAAGGGGAGGGCAAGUCUGGUGUCAGCCGCCGCGGUAAUACCAGCUCCUCGAGUGGUCGGGACGAUUAUUGGGCCUAAAGCACCCGUAGCCGGUUCUGUAAGUCCUCUGUUAAAUCCAGUCGCUCAACGGCUGGCCUGCAGAGGAUACUGCGGGACUAGGAGGCGGGAGAGGCGGACGGUACUCCGCGUGUAGGGGUAAAAUCCUUUGAUCCGCGGAAGACCACCAGUGGCGAAGGCGGUCCGCCAGAACGCGCUCGACGGUGAGGGGUGAAAGCUGGGGGAGCGAACC